GCGCGCUACACUGACAGAGCCAGCGAGUUUUCAAUCCCUUUACCGGAAGGUAUGGGUAAUCUUGUGAAACUCU
This 73-nucleotide ribosomal RNA is filed under the name Hodophilus hymenocephalus. RNAcentral's name for it is "partial small subunit ribosomal RNA". The record is from RNAcentral. Lineage: Eukaryota; Fungi; Basidiomycota; Agaricomycetes; Agaricales; Clavariaceae.